This 499-nucleotide ribosomal RNA is filed under the name uncultured bacterium. Its description in RNAcentral is "partial 16S ribosomal RNA". It matches the Rfam family "Bacterial small subunit ribosomal RNA", at positions 28 to 507 of the family's 1533-position model. The record is from RNAcentral.
GACGAACGCUGGCGGCGUGCCUAAUACAUGCAAGUCGAGCGGACCAAACAGGAGCUUGCUCUUGUUUGGUUAGCGGCGGACGGGUGAGUAACACGUGGGUAACCUGCCCGUAAGACCGGGAUAACUCCGGGAAACCGGAGCUAAUACCGGAUAACACCGAAGACCGCAUGGUCUUUGGUUGAAAGGCGGCUUCGGCUGCCACUUACGGAUGGGCCCGCGGCGCAUUAGCUAGUUGGUGAGGUAACGGCUCACCAAGGCGACGAUGCGUAGCCGGCCUGAGAGGGUGACCGGCCACACUGGGACUGAGACACGGCCCAGACGCCUACGGGAGGCAGCAGUAGGGAAUCUUCCGCAAUGGACGAAAGUCUGACGGAGCGACGCCGCGUGAGCGAAGAAGGUCUUCGGAUCGGAAAGCUCUGUUGUUAGGGAAGAAGAAGCGCCGUUCGAACAGGGCGGCGCGGUGACGGUACCUAACGAGAAAGCCCCGGCUAACUACGUG